This 515-nucleotide ribosomal RNA is filed under the name uncultured bacterium. RNAcentral's name for it is "bacterial SSU rRNA". It matches the Rfam family "Bacterial small subunit ribosomal RNA", at positions 501 to 1012 of the family's 1533-position model. The record is from RNAcentral.
CUACGUGCCAGCAGCCGCGGUAAUACGUAGGGUGCGAGCGUUGUCCGGAAUUACUGGGCGUAAAGAGCUCGUAGGUGGUUUGUUGCGUCGUCUGUGAAAUUCCGGGGCUUAACUUCGGGGUGGCAGGCGAUACGGGCAUAACUAGAGUGCUGUAGGGGAGACUGGAAUUCCUGGUGUAGCGGUGGAAUGCGCAGAUAUCAGGAGGAACACCGAUGGCGAAGGCAGGUCUCUGGGCAGUAACUGACGCUGAGGAGCGAAAGCAUGGGGAGCGAACAGGAUUAGAUACCCUGGUAGUCCAUGCUGUAAACGGUGGGCGUUAGGUGUGGGGACUUUAUUUGGUUUCUGUGCCGUAGCUAACGCAUUAAGCGCCCCGCCUGGGGAGUACGGCCGCAAGGCUAAAACUCAAAGGAAUUGACGGGGGCCCGCACAAGCGGCGGAGCAUGUGGAUUAAUUCGAUGCAACGCGAAGAACCUUACCUGGGUUUGACAUGCACCAGACGGUUGUAGAGAUACGUA